GACGAACGCUGGCGGCGUGCUUAACACAUGCAAGUCGAACGGAAAGGCCCUGCUUGCCGGGUCCUCGAGUGGCGAACGGGUGAGUAACACGUGGGUGAUCUGCCCUGCACUUCGGGAUAAGCCUGGGAAACUGGGUCUACUACCGGAUAGGAGCCAUUUUUAGUGUGAUGGUUGGAAAGUUUUUUGGGUGUAGUAUGAGCGCGCGGCCUAUCAGCUUGUUGGUGGGGUAAUGGCCUACCAAGGCGGCGACGCGUAGCCGGCGUGAGAGGGUGGCCGGCCACAGUGGGACUGAGACACGGCCCAGACUCCGACGGGAGGCAGAAGUGGGGAAUGUUGAACAAUGGGCGCAAGCCUGAUGCAGCGACGGCGCGUGGGGGAUGACGGCCUUCGGGUUGGAAACGCCUUUCGCUAGGGACGAAGCUUUUUGUGACGGUACCUAGAGAAGAAGCACCGGCUAACUACGUG
This 465-nucleotide ribosomal RNA is filed under the name uncultured bacterium. RNAcentral's name for it is "partial 16S ribosomal RNA". It matches the Rfam family "Bacterial small subunit ribosomal RNA", at positions 28 to 507 of the family's 1533-position model. The record is from RNAcentral.